AGACCCAGGGGUGGGUGGCAGAGAGGGCCUGAGCUGCAGGGCCAGGGCCAGCCACUGUGGCUAAAGGUUCCAGCUCCCCACCUGCCCGCUGAGGCCACCGGUGGUGCUGACACCUGAGCCAACUCCAAGCCAGGAAGACCCUGACCUUGUCAUUUCACAGCCUCCCUACACCCCUAAAGGAAUAGAAACAGUUGCAAAACAGCCACGCCACAGUGUGCAAAGAAUGAUAAAGACAAUGCUGACGCCCCUGCAUGCGUUCUUCAGUUCACGAGGACAGGCUGUGUGGGGAGCACACAGGAGUGUCGCCUGCAGACACCAGGAGCUGGGUCCUGGGCAUGGCCAUGGCAAGGUGAGAUGACUCCAGCCCAGGGUCAGCUUGGGCAGUGCCUUGGGUGACCUGGCACACCUGAGAUGACCCCCACCAGUCCCAUGCACCCUGAGAAGUGGCACCAGCCUCCAGCAGCCCCUGACAGCCCCUCACAGACGGGGUGGCCAGGCCCAGCAGCAGCAGCUUGUACACACAACAGCUGCACUGCUUACAGCCCUGAAGCAGAAACCAGGAGGGUGGCCCCCAAGGGCCUGGAAGAGGGAGCGCUUUCUCCCCCGUGCUUGCCCUGGCUACAGGCCAUCUUGCCAGAAUAUGAGAGGGGCCACCCCAGCCGUCCACAAGAGCGGCCCGUUCCCUCGGGGCCCCAGGCGCAGGCCUCCCACUCCACCCUGGGUGCAUCUGGAUAGGGAACUGCAAAGACCCCUCUUGUGGACGUAGCAGGUAAACCUGAGCCAUGGAAGGUGGCAUCUCCUGCCUCCCGGGGGAGGUGCAAACUUCCAGAAUCUUCCUUUUCCUGACCAUAAGUCACUGUCAUCCCCCAUCUAUUUGUAAUAAAAUUUUCAAAAAUGAA
This 899-nucleotide long non-coding RNA is filed under the name Homo sapiens (human). Its description in RNAcentral is "non-protein coding lnc-ANKRD10-8:1". The record is from RNAcentral. Lineage: Eukaryota; Metazoa; Chordata; Mammalia; Primates; Hominidae.